Homo sapiens (human) is the source of this 1859-nucleotide long non-coding RNA. Ensembl annotates it as PMS1 homolog 2, mismatch repair system component pseudogene 4. Its record names the gene PMS2P4. NCBI's taxonomy places the organism in Eukaryota, Metazoa, Chordata, Mammalia, Primates, Hominidae. The record is from Ensembl.
GGGAGUCGUGGAGGGAACUUUCCCAGGCCCCGAGGCGGAUCGGGUAUUGAGUCCAUGGAGCGAGCUGAGAGCUAGAGUACAGAACCUGCUAAGGCCAUCAAACCUAUCGAUCGGAAGUCAGUCCAUCAGAUUUGCUCUGGGCCGGUGGUACUGAGUCUAAGCACUGCGGUGAAGGAGUUAGUAGAAAACAGUCUGGAUGCUGGUGCCACCAAUAUUGAUCUAAAGCUUAAGGACUAUGGAGUGGAUCUCAUUGAAGUUUCAGACAAUGGAUGUGGGGUAGAAGAAGAAAACUUUGAAGGCUUAACGAUGUCACCAUUUCUACCUGCCACGCAUCGGCGAAGGUUGGGACUCGACUGGUGUUUGAUCACGAUGGGAAAAUCAUCCAGAAAACCCCCUACCCCCACCCCAGAGGGACCACAGUCAGCGUGAAGCAGUUAUUUUCUACACUACCUGUGCACCAUAAGGAAUUUCAAAGGAAUAUUAAGAAGACGUGCCUGUUUCCCCUUCGCCUUCUGCCGUGAUUGUCAGUUUCCUGAGGCCUCCCCAGCCAUGCUUCCUGUACAGCCUGCAGAACUCCUCCAGCCCACCCGAUUCCUCCCCACCUCCUCCACCUCCCCAGGCCCCACUCACCUCCUCCAACUCCUCCGGGGAAACCCAAGCCCUGCCGCUCAUGGAACAGAAGAACUGGAACCGAAGUUUCUGGAACAGGACUAUCUGAGAGCGGUUCUUCCUGGCCCUCGGGUUCAUGCAACGGCGUAACUGGAACCGACGCUUACGGACCAAGGGUAUGCGAGAGCGGUACUUCCUGGCCCUCGGGUUCAUGGAACGGCCUAACUGGAACCGACGCUUACGGAGCAAGGGUAUGCGAGAGCGGUUCUUCCUGGCCCUCGGGUUCAUGGAACGGCCUAACUGGAACCAACGCUUACGGAGCAAGGGUAUGCGAGAGCGGGUCUUCCCAUACAGGAAGUGGAAGAUGUUUUGUUUGGAGUCCUCGUCGUCCUCCUCCAUGUCAUUGGCCAGGUAGCUGAGGAUAGAAAUCAGGUUGCUGCUCAGGGGCACCACCAGGAGAGGCCUCCGGCUGAGGUCAGCUUCCCAGAGAGGAAGGUAAGGGACCGUCCCUAGCUCAGGACUGGCACCCACCCUGCAGAGAGCCACGCCUUCCUCAGGAGGGCUCUGCUGGACAGAGACCUGAUCAAGGGCGUCUCCCACUCCUUCAGGAUGGAGACAAAAACCCAACUGGUGGCCGAGAGUGGUGGCUUACGCCUGGAAUCCCAGCACAUUGGGAGGCCAAAGCAGGAGGAUCACUUGAGGCCAGGAGUUUGAGACGGGCCUGGGCAACAUAGCAAGACCCUCGUCUCUAUUAAAAAUAUAAGAAAUAUGCCAGACGCAGUGGCUCAUGCCUGUAAUCCCAGCACUUUAGAAGGCUGAAGCAGGUGGAUCGCUUGAGACCAGGAGUUGGAGACCAGCCUGGUCAACACGGAGAAACCCCAUCUCUACUAAAAAUACAAAAAUCAGCCUGGUGCCGUGGCACACCCGUUAGGCCUAGCUACUCAGGAGGCUGAAGCAUAAGAAUUGUGUGAACCCAGGAGGCAGAGGCUGCAGUGAGUUGAGAUUGGGCCACUCCAUUCCAGCCUGAGAGGCAGAGCAAGACUCUGUCUCAAUAAACAAACAAACAAACAAACAAACUGUCCAGGUGUGGUGGCACAGCCCUGUAGUCGGAGCUAAUAAAGAAGCUGAGGUGGGAGGAUCGCUUGAGCCCAGGAUAUGGAGGCUGUGGUGAGCUAUGAUCUCACCACUGCACUCUAGCUUGGGGGACAGGGCAAGUCUGUCUCAAAAAAAUAAAAGCAAUUGAAUACAUU